ACCUAUGAUGCUUUGCCGAAGGUGUGAGAUGCAGGUGCUUCCAAGUCUCUGUUAAAUCAGGGAGAACCUACUUGGGGACCUGCAUUAUAAUGAGAUUAAUGGGCUGUUACUGAGGU
Molecule: small nucleolar RNA, 116 nt
Filed under: Leersia perrieri
Lineage: Eukaryota; Viridiplantae; Streptophyta; Magnoliopsida; Poales; Poaceae
Description: snoRNA snoZ278
Rfam family: Small nucleolar RNA Z278
About the family: snoZ278 is a C/D box small nucleolar RNA. Its methylation guide targets have not been reported.
Source: Rfam by way of RNAcentral